UAAAGCAGACAUCUCGUCAGUCAUAGCCUGUCGCCACCCUGGAUGAGACAAUGCUUCACCUGUAGACUUAGGGAGGGCAACAGAGGACAAAGAAAAUAGAAAAGCAUAAUAGGGUGAUGACAAACGAUGAUAACUUAAACCGAUAUAAUGUGGAUUAGGAUUAAGGGUGUUCCGUAUACCUUCCCGAAGUGCAAUCGGAAGAGACAAGUCCGCAGUAAGAGCAGGGUCAGGUGCAGGAAGUAAAUCAGCCGGGCCGGAUGCUGGGCGAGGACGACGAUGAUAUGUCAAGGGUGGAGUGUCUUCUGCAGGGAGUCUAGGAGGAGCCACAGUAGAUGGUCCAAUGCUUGGAAUGGAUAAGACUUCUGUAGCGGAAGGUGAAGGAGGAGAUAUAGUAGACUCCCUAAAGG
Molecule: long non-coding RNA, 407 nt
Filed under: Nicotiana benthamiana
Lineage: Eukaryota; Viridiplantae; Streptophyta; Magnoliopsida; Solanales; Solanaceae
Description: long non-coding RNA (NBEN_LNC040177)
Source: RNAcentral